Molecule: ribosomal RNA, 349 nt
Filed under: uncultured bacterium
Lineage: Bacteria
Description: bacterial SSU rRNA
Rfam family: Bacterial small subunit ribosomal RNA
Source: RNAcentral
GGGCCCGCACAAGCGGUGGAGCAUGUUGUUUAAUUCGAUGCAACGCGAAGAACCUUACCACCCCUUGACAUACUCGGAACUUUCUAGAGAUAGAUUGGUGCCUUCGGGAACCGAGAUACAGGUGCUGCAUGGCUGUCGUCAGCUCGUGUCGUGAGAUGUUGGGUUAAGUCCCGUAACGAGCGCAACCCUUGUCCUUAUUUGCCAGCGAUUCGGUCGGGAACUCUAAGGAGACUGCCGGUGAAAACCGGAGGAAGGUGGGACGACGUCAAGUCAUCAUGGGCCCUUACGGGGUGGGCUACAAACGUGCUACAAUGGGGAGUACAAAGGGCUGCGAACCAGCAAUGGUAAG